Molecule: ribosomal RNA, 423 nt
Filed under: uncultured archaeon
Lineage: Archaea
Description: bacterial SSU rRNA
Rfam family: Archaeal small subunit ribosomal RNA
Source: RNAcentral
AAGGGCCGGGCAAGACCGGUGCCAGCCGCCGCGGUAAUACCGGCGGCUCGAGUGGUGGCCACUAUUACUGGGCUUAAAGCGUCCGUAGCUGGUCUGUUAAGUCUCUGGGGAAAUCUUCCGGCUCAACCGGAAGGCGUCUCAGGGAUACUGGCAGACUAGGGACCGGGAGAGGUGAGAGGUACUCCAGGGGUAGGAGUGAAAUCCUGUAAUCCUUGGGGGACCACCUGUGGCGAAGGCGUCUCACCAGAACGGCUCCGACAGUGAGGGACGAAAGCUGGGGGAGCAAACCGGAUUAGAUACCCGGGUAGUCCCAGCCGUAAACGAUGCGCGUUAGGUGUAUCGGUGACCACGAGUCACCGAGGUGCCGAAGAGAAAUCGUGAAACGCGCCGCCUGGGAAGUACGGUCGCAAGGCUGAAACUUAA